GAGACUGAUCUGGGCACACAAACUAUGAGCGCCAUGUAGGAGCCCUGGGGUCAAAGAGGAGCCCUACAUUUUACUUAACCUUUUAGGGAUUUACACCGAAUUCUUCCAACCUUAGAAAUUAUUUGAACAAACUAAAAACUGGGGAAUGAAAGAAUUCUCUCCAUCUCCCAAAGUUCAGAAUCUUUGCUGCAAGCCUUGGGGAGAUCAUCAUUUAUUGAACAAAUACUUAUCAGCACUUGAAAGGACUCCAGGGGAGGACGUCAUGAACUGACACAGAGGUUGUCAGAGGAGAAACGUGAAACGAUAAAGGAAAUACUGAAAGGAAGAGAUUUGGAUGAC
Long non-coding RNA from Hipposideros armiger (great roundleaf bat), 339 nucleotides. RefSeq lists it as uncharacterized. The transcript has 4 exons. NCBI's taxonomy places the organism in Eukaryota, Metazoa, Chordata, Mammalia, Chiroptera, Hipposideridae. The record is from RefSeq and is a predicted model, not a curated record.